CGGGUGAGUAACGCGUGGGUAACCUGCCUCACACAGGGGGAUAACAGUUAGAAAUGACUGCUAAUACCGCAUAACCCGAUAGGAUCGCAUGAUCCAGACGGAAAAGAUUUAUCGGUGUGAGAUGGACCCGCGUCUGAUUAGCUAGUUGGUGAGGUAACGGCCCACCAAGGCAACGAUCAGUAGCCGGCCUGAGAGGUUGAACGGCCACAUUGGGACUGAGACACGGCCCAG
Molecule: ribosomal RNA, 231 nt
Filed under: uncultured bacterium
Lineage: Bacteria
Description: partial 16S ribosomal RNA
Rfam family: Bacterial small subunit ribosomal RNA
Source: RNAcentral